GCCGGCUUAGCUCAGUUGGUAGAGCAACUGACUUGUAAUCAGUGGGUCACCAGUUCAAUUCCGGUAGCCGGCA
RNAcentral lists this transfer RNA (73 nucleotides) under Candidatus Pantoea edessiphila. It matches the Rfam family "tRNA". Rfam says of the family: Transfer RNA (tRNA) molecules are approximately 80 nucleotides in length. Their secondary structure includes four short double-helical elements and three loops (D, anti-codon, and T loops). The record is from Rfam by way of RNAcentral. Lineage: Bacteria; Pseudomonadati; Pseudomonadota; Gammaproteobacteria; Enterobacterales; Erwiniaceae.